RNAcentral lists this ribosomal RNA (510 nucleotides) under Escherichia coli. RNAcentral's name for it is "partial 23S ribosomal RNA". It matches the Rfam family "Bacterial large subunit ribosomal RNA", at positions 2289 to 2798 of the family's 2925-position model. The record is from RNAcentral. Lineage: Bacteria; Pseudomonadati; Pseudomonadota; Gammaproteobacteria; Enterobacterales; Enterobacteriaceae.
CCUAAAGAGUAACGGAGGAGCACGAAGGUUGGCUAAUCCUGGUCGGACAUCAGGAGGUUAGUGCAAUGGCAUAAGCCAGCUUGACUGCGAGCGUGACGGCGCGAGCAGGUGCGAAAGCAGGUCAUAGUGAUCCGGUGGUUCUGAAUGGAAGGGCCAUCGCUCAACGGAUAAAAGGUACUCCGGGGAUAACAGGCUGAUACCGCCCAAGAGUUCAUAUCGACGGCGGUGUUUGGCACCUCGAUGUCGGCUCAUCACAUCCUGGGGCUGAAGUAGGUCCCAAGGGUAUGGCUGUUCGCCAUUUAAAGUGGUACGCGAGCUGGGUUUAGAACGUCGUGAGACAGUUCGGUCCCUAUCUGCCGUGGGCGCUGGAGAACUGAGGGGGGCUGCUCCUAGUACGAGAGGACCGGAGUGGACGCAUCACUGGUGUUCGGGUUGUCAUGCCAAUGGCACUGCCCGGUAGCUAAAUGCGGAAGAGAUAAGUGCUGAAAGCAUCUAAGCACGAAACUUGCC